GUGAGACAGGUGCUGCAUGGCUGUCGUCAGCUCGUGUUGUGAAAUGUUGGGUUAAGUCCCGCAACGAGCGCAACCCUUAUCCUUUGUUGCCAGCGAUUAGGUCGGGAACUCAAAGGAGACUGCCAGUGAUAAACUGGAGGAAGGUGGGGAUGACGUCAAGUCAUCAUGGCCCUUACGACCAGGGCUACACACGUGCUACAAUGGCGCAUACAAAGAGAAGCGACCUCGCGAGAGCAAGCGGACCUCAUAAAGUGCGUCGUAGUCCGGAUUGGAGUCUGCAACUCGACUCCAUGAAGUCGGAAUCGCUAGUAAUCGUGGAUCAGAAUGCCACGGUGAAUACGUUCCCGGGCCUUGUACACACCGCCCGUCACACCAUGGGAGUGGGUUGCAAAAGAAGUAGGUAGCUUAACCUUCGGGAGGGCGCUUACCACUUUGUGAUUCAUGACUGGGGUGAAGUCGUAACAAGGUAACCGUAGGGGAACCUGCGGUUGGAUCACCUCCUUACCUUAAAGAAGC
This 516-nucleotide ribosomal RNA is filed under the name Salmonella enterica subsp. enterica serovar Muenchen. RNAcentral's name for it is "bacterial SSU rRNA". It matches the Rfam family "Bacterial small subunit ribosomal RNA", at positions 1029 to 1533 of the family's 1533-position model. The record is from RNAcentral. Lineage: Bacteria; Pseudomonadati; Pseudomonadota; Gammaproteobacteria; Enterobacterales; Enterobacteriaceae. RNAcentral also lists the same sequence under 8 other names.